This 509-nucleotide long non-coding RNA is filed under the name Chloebia gouldiae (Gouldian finch). Its description in RNAcentral is "Erythrura gouldiae (Gouldian finch) lncRNA (ENSEGOG00005016961.1)". Lineage: Eukaryota; Metazoa; Chordata; Aves; Passeriformes; Passeridae. The record is from RNAcentral.
GGUAGUCCAGCCUCACAGCUGGAUCUAGGACUCCAUCCACAGGAUUUGCUUCCCUGCUUUGGCCAUUGAUGUGUCAAAGUCAGUGGGAACUGAGUCCAUGGGGAUGACAAAGAGAAAAAGAGGGCAGGGGAAAUCAGUGUAAGUGUGCUCUGAAGCAGCCUCGGCCUCUGAACAACCUCACGGGCUGGAAAACCUCUGCUUGGCAUCUUCCAGAAUUAGUGUGGAUAAUGCAGCACUGGGCACUUCUCUGGGUUAUCUGAGCCUUGCGUGAGAUGCUCCUGGGCAACGGAUUUAGGAAAACCCUGUCAUUUACACCUUAUGGGGAAGCAGAAGCAAUCUCCAUGGCAAUGGGGCUCCCCCAGCCUGGCUCCACCCAGCAGGUAAUUCCCUCGGCGCUGCUGCAGCGUAACCACGGCCCACACUCCAGCCUCUCAUCCGCCACCUCUCCCGCUUCUCCUCCUCCACCCAAGCUUCCCUCCCAGCCCUGCCUUUUGUCUCCUUCACCCACU